Molecule: non-coding RNA, 30 nt
Filed under: Rattus norvegicus (Norway rat)
Lineage: Eukaryota; Metazoa; Chordata; Mammalia; Rodentia; Muridae
Source: RNAcentral
UGUAUGAUAACAAUUGUAAUUCCUUUGAGA